This 749-nucleotide ribosomal RNA is filed under the name uncultured bacterium. Its description in RNAcentral is "bacterial SSU rRNA". It matches the Rfam family "Bacterial small subunit ribosomal RNA", at positions 28 to 776 of the family's 1533-position model. The record is from RNAcentral.
AUUGAACGCUGGCGGCAGGCUUAACACAUGCAAGUCGAACGAUGAAGAUAUAGCUUGCUAUAUCGGAUUAGUGGCGGACGGGUGAGUAACACUUAGGAAUCUACCUUUUAGCGGGGGAUAGCUCGGGGAAACUCGAAUUAAUACCGCAUAAUUUCUACGGAAUAAAGAGGGCUUUUAGCUCUCACUAGAAGAUGAGCCUAAGUAAGAUUAGCUAGUUGGUGGGGUAAAAGCCUACCAAGGCGACGAUCUUUAGCUGGUCUGAGAGGAUGAUCAGCCACACUGGGACUGAGACACGGCCCAGACUCCUACGGGAGGCAGCAGUGGGGAAUAUUGGACAAUGGGGGCAACCCUGAUCCAGCCAUGCCGCGUGUGUGAAGAAGGCCUUUUGGUUGUAAGGCACUUUAAGCAGUGAAGAAGACCUAUUGGUUAACACCCAAUAGCGAUGACAUUAACUGCAGAAUAAGCACCGGCUAACUCUGUGCCAGCAGCCGCGGUAAUACAGAGGGUGCAAGCGUUAAUCGGAAUUACUGGGCGUAAAGCGAGCGUAGGUGGUUAAAUAAGUCAGAUGUGAAAGCCCUGGGCUCAACCUAGGAACGGCAUCUGAAACUAUUUAACUAGAGUAGGUGAGAGGGAAGUAGAAUUUCAGGUGUAGCGGUGAAAUGCGUAGAGAUCUGAAGGAAUACCGAUGGCGAAAGCAGCUUCCUGGCAUCAUACUGACACUGAGCUCGAAAGCGUGGGUAGCAAACAGG